Molecule: ribosomal RNA, 511 nt
Filed under: uncultured Acaulospora
Lineage: Eukaryota; Fungi; Glomeromycota; Glomeromycetes; Diversisporales; Acaulosporaceae
Description: SSU rRNA
Rfam family: Eukaryotic small subunit ribosomal RNA
Source: RNAcentral
AGCAGCCGCGGUAAUUCCAGCUCCAAUAGCGUAUAUUAAAGUUGUUGCAGUUAAAAAGCUCGUAGUUGAAUUUCGGGGUUCAUCCGUUGGUCGGGCUUUUUUGGUCUGUACUGGCGUGAUGGAUUCCUACCUUCUGAAUAACCAGCAUGUCAUUAAUUUGGUGCGCUGGGGAAGCAGGACUGUUACCUUGAAAAAAUUAGAGUGCUUAAAGCAGGCUAUCGCCUGAAUACAUUAGCAUGGAAUAAUGAAAUAGGACGGCAUGGUUCUAUUUUGUUGGUUUCUAGGAUCACCGUAAUGAUUAAUAGGGAUAGUUGGGGGCAUUAGUAUUCAAUUGUCAGAGGUGAAAUUCUUGGAUUUAUUGAAGACUAACUUCUGCGAAAGCAUUUGCCAAGGAUGUUUUCAUUAAUCAAGAACGAAAGUUAGGGGAUCGAAGACGAUCAGAUACCGUCGUAGUCUUAACCAUAAACUAUGCCGACUAGGGAUCGGACGAUGUUAAUUUUUUAAUGACUCG